UACGUAGGGGGCAAGCGUUGUCCGGAAUCAUUGGGCGUAAAGAGCGUGUAGGCGGCCCGGUAAGUCCGCUGUGAAAGUCCAGGGCUCAACCCUGGGAUGCCGGUGGAUACUGUCGGGCUCGAGUCCGGAAGAGGAGUGUGGAAUUCCUGGUGUAGCGGUGAAAUGCGCAGAUAUCAGGAGGAACACCGGUGGCGAAGGCGGAUCUCUGGGCCUUACCUGACGCUGAGGCGCGAAAGCUAGGGGAGCAAACAGG
Molecule: ribosomal RNA, 253 nt
Filed under: uncultured bacterium
Lineage: Bacteria
Description: partial 16S ribosomal RNA
Rfam family: Bacterial small subunit ribosomal RNA
Source: RNAcentral